Molecule: ribosomal RNA, 1424 nt
Filed under: Proteus myxofaciens ATCC 19692
Lineage: Bacteria; Pseudomonadati; Pseudomonadota; Gammaproteobacteria; Enterobacterales; Morganellaceae
Description: bacterial LSU rRNA
Rfam family: Bacterial large subunit ribosomal RNA
Source: RNAcentral
AGAGUGACUAGGCAAAUCCGGUCAUUUAAUGCUGAGGUGUGAUGACGAGCCACUAAGGUGGUGAAGCAAUUGAUGCCCUGCUUCCAGGAAAAGCCUCUAAGCUUCAGGUUACCAACAAUCGUACCCCAAACCGACACAGGUGGUCAGGUAGAGAAUACUCAGGCGCUUGAGAGAACUCGGGUGAAGGAACUAGGCAAAAUGGUGCCGUAACUUCGGGAGAAGGCACGCUGACGGUAGGUAAAGUCCCUCGCGGACGGCGCUGAAGUCAGUCGAAGAUACCAGCUGGCUGCAACUGUUUAUUAAAAACACAGCACUGUGCAAACACGAAAGUGGACGUAUACGGUGUGACGCCUGCCCGGUGCUGGAAGGUUAAUUGAUGGGGUUAUCCUUAGGGAGAAGCUCUUGAUCGAAGCCCCAGUAAACGGCGGCCGUAACUAUAACGGUCCUAAGGUAGCGAAAUUCCUUGUCGGGUAAGUUCCGACCUGCACGAAUGGCGUAAUGAUGGCCAGGCUGUCUCCACCCGAGACUCAGUGAAAUUGAACUCGCUGUGAAGAUGCAGUGUACCCGCGGCAAGACGGAAAGACCCCGUGAACCUUUACUAUAGCUUGACACUGAACAUUGAGCCUUGAUGUGUAGGAUAGGUGGGAGGCUUUGAAGUGUGGACGCCAGUCUGCAUGGAGCCAACCUUGAAAUACCACCCUUUAACGUUUGAUGUUCUAACCUAGGUCCAUAAUCUGGAUCGGGGACCGUGUCUGGUGGGUAGUUUGACUGGGGCGGUCUCCUCCUAAAGAGUAACGGAGGAGCACGAAGGUUGGCUAAGCAUGGUCGGACAUCAUGCGGUUAGUGCAAAGGCAUAAGCCAGCUUGACUGCGAGAGUGACGGCUCGAGCAGGUACGAAAGUAGGUCUUAGUGAUCCGGUGGUUCUGAAUGGAAGGGCCAUCGCUCAACGGAUAAAAGGUACUCCGGGGAUAACAGGCUGAUACCGCCCAAGAGUUCAUAUCGACGGCGGUGUUUGGCACCUCGAUGUCGGCUCAUCACAUCCUGGGGCUGAAGUAGGUCCCAAGGGUAUGGCUGUUCGCCAUUUAAAGUGGUACGCGAGCUGGGUUUAGAACGUCGUGAGACAGUUCGGUCCCUAUCUGCCGUGGGCGUUGGAAGAUUGAGAGGGGUUGCUCCUAGUACGAGAGGACCGGAGUGAACGCACCACUGGUGUUCGGGUUGUCAUGCCAAUGGCAUUGCCCGGUAGCUAAGUGCGGAAGAGAUAACCGCUGAAAGCAUCUAAGCGGGAAACUUGCCUCGAGAUGAGUCUUCCCUGUCGCUUUAAGCGACCUAAAGGAACGUUUAAGACUAAGACGUUGAUAGGCUGGGUGUGUAAGCGUAGCGAUACGUUGAGCUAACCAGUACUAAUGAACCGUGAGGCUUAACCU